GACGAACGCUGGCGGCGUGCUUAACACAUGCAAGUCGAACGGAAAGGCCCUGCUUUUGUGGGGUGCUCGAGCGGCGAACGGGUGAGUAACACGUGAGUAACCUGCCCUUGACUUUGGGAUAACUUCAGGAAACUGGGGCUAAUACCGGAUAGGAGCUCCUGCUGCAUGGUGGGGGUUGGAAGGUUUCGGCGGUUGGGGAUGGACUCGCGGCUUAUCAGCUUGUUGGUGGGGUAGUGGCUUACCAAGGCUUUGACGGGUAGCCGGCCUGAGAGGGUGACCGGCCACAUUGGGACUGAGAUACGGCCCAGACUCCUACGGGAGGCAGCAGUGGGGAAUAUUGCACAAUGGGCGGAAGCCUGAUGCAGCAACGCCGCGUGCGGGAUGACGGCCUUCGGGUUGUAAACCGCUUUCGCCUGUGACGAAGCGUGAGUGACGGUAAUGGGUAAAGAAGCACCGGCUAACUACGUG
This 468-nucleotide ribosomal RNA is filed under the name uncultured bacterium. Its description in RNAcentral is "partial 16S ribosomal RNA". It matches the Rfam family "Bacterial small subunit ribosomal RNA", at positions 28 to 507 of the family's 1533-position model. The record is from RNAcentral.